AGAGUUUGAUCCUGGCUCAGAUUGAACGCUCGCGGAAUGCUUCACACAUGCAAGUCGAACGGCAGCACGGGGGCAACCCUGGUGGCGAGUGGCGAACGGGUGAGUAAUACAUCGGAACGUGCCCAGUCGUGGGGGAUAACGUAGCGAAAGCUACGCUAAUACCGCAUACGAUCUACGGAUGAAAGCGGGGGAUCGCAAGACCUCGCGCGAUUGGAGCGGCCGAUGGCAGAUUAGGUAGUUGGUGGGGUAAAGGCUCACCACGCCUCCGAUCUGUAGCUGGUCUGAGAGGACGACCAGCCACACUGGGACUGAGACACGGCCCAGACUCCUACGGGAGGCAGCAGUGGGGAAUUUUGGACAAUGGGCGCAAGCCUGAUCCAGCCAUUCCGCGUGCAGGAUGAAGGCCUUCGGGUUGUAAACUGCUUUUGUACGGAACGAAAAGGCUCCCUCUAAUACAGGGGGCUCAUGACGUACC
This 475-nucleotide ribosomal RNA is filed under the name uncultured Comamonadaceae bacterium. RNAcentral describes it as "bacterial SSU rRNA". It matches the Rfam family "Bacterial small subunit ribosomal RNA", at positions 8 to 479 of the family's 1533-position model. The record is from RNAcentral. Lineage: Bacteria; Pseudomonadati; Pseudomonadota; Betaproteobacteria; Burkholderiales; Comamonadaceae.